GUAGUCAUAUGCUUGUCUCAAGAUUAAGCCAUGCAUGUCUAAGUAUAAGCAAUCUAUACGGUGAAACUGCGAAUGGCUCAUUAAAUCAGUUAUCGUUUAUUUGAUAGUACCUUACUACAUGGAUACCUGUGGUAAUUCUAGAGCUAAUACAUGCUGAAAACCCCAACUUCGGGAGGGGUGUAUUUAUUAGAUAAAAAACCAACGCCCUUCGGGGCUUCUUGGUGAUUCAUGAUAACUUUACGGAUCGCAUGGCCUUGCGCCGGCGACGGUUCAUUCAAAUUUCUGCCCUAUCAACUUUCGAUGGUAAGGUAUUGGCUUACCAUGGUUUCAACGGGUAACGGGGAAU
RNAcentral lists this ribosomal RNA (346 nucleotides) under uncultured fungus. RNAcentral's name for it is "SSU rRNA". It matches the Rfam family "Eukaryotic small subunit ribosomal RNA", at positions 20 to 370 of the family's 1831-position model. The record is from RNAcentral. Lineage: Eukaryota; Fungi.